GCGCCCGUAGCUCAACUGGAUAGAGCACCCGCCUUCUAAGCGGGUGGUUGACGGUUCAAGUCCGUCCGGGCGUA
Molecule: transfer RNA, 74 nt
Filed under: Planctomycetota bacterium
Lineage: Bacteria; Pseudomonadati; Planctomycetota
Description: Planctomycetes bacterium (bioreactor metagenome) tRNA-Arg
Rfam family: tRNA
About the family: Transfer RNA (tRNA) molecules are approximately 80 nucleotides in length. Their secondary structure includes four short double-helical elements and three loops (D, anti-codon, and T loops).
Source: RNAcentral